UACGUAGGUGGCGAGCGUUGUCCGGAUUUACUGGGCGUAAAGGGAGCGUAGGCGGACUUUUAAGUGAGAUGUGAAAUACUCGGGCUCAACUUGAGUGCUGCAUUUCAAACUGGAAGUCUAGAGUGCAGGAGAGGAGAAUGGAAUUCCGUGUGUAGCGGUGAAAUGCGUAGAUAUACGGAGGAACACCAGUGGCGAAGGCGGAUUGCUGGACAGUAACUGACGCUGAGGCGCGAAAGCGUGGGGAGCAAACAGG
This 253-nucleotide ribosomal RNA is filed under the name uncultured bacterium. RNAcentral's name for it is "partial 16S ribosomal RNA". It matches the Rfam family "Bacterial small subunit ribosomal RNA", at positions 524 to 776 of the family's 1533-position model. The record is from RNAcentral.